This 253-nucleotide ribosomal RNA is filed under the name uncultured bacterium. RNAcentral describes it as "partial 16S ribosomal RNA". It matches the Rfam family "Bacterial small subunit ribosomal RNA", at positions 524 to 776 of the family's 1533-position model. The record is from RNAcentral.
UACGGAGGAUGCAAGCGUUAUCCGGAUUUAUUGGGCGUAAAGCGUCCGCAGGUGGUUUUCCAAGUCUGCUGUUAAAGCGCGAGGCUUAACCUCGUACAGGCAGUGGAAACUGGAUGACUAGAGUAUGGUAGGGGUAGCGUGAAUUCCCAGUGUAGCGGUGAAAUGCGUAGAUAUUGGGAAGAACACCAGCGGCGAAAGCGCGCUACUGGGCCAUUACUGACACUCAUGGACGAAAGCUAGGGGAGCGAAAGGG